Molecule: long non-coding RNA, 650 nt
Organism: Galleria mellonella (greater wax moth)
Lineage: Eukaryota; Metazoa; Arthropoda; Insecta; Lepidoptera; Pyralidae
Exons: 2
Source: RefSeq, a predicted model, not a curated record
UACAAAGUAUAUACGUCGAGUUUUGCGAUAAGUAAAGUUCGCGGACAUAGUACUUCUCUAGCUAUAUAACAGCGGAGCCCGCGAGAUCUAUAUUAGUUUGCAAACCAAUUUAGUGGCCGUUGGUUGUGAGUGUGUGUUUAUAAAGUAAACAAUACAUUUCCGUUCAAAUACCAUGGCAGACAACGAUCGUAUUGUGUAUCCUGAUGAAGUAGAAACAUCGAAGAUAGAGGCAGCGAAUGCUGAAGACAAAACUACAGGUGGUGACACAAACACAAUAGAGGAAGCACCUCAAGAUAUUGCAAUGAGAAGUAUGAUCACUGUGCCUCCAAACUGUCCAGCUGGCUACGAGUUGUCCGCUGAUGGUGUGUGCCGCGAAGUCUUCAAGUAGCCGCUGUGAUACCACAAAUAUUGGGAUUAAAUUUAGUAAUUUAUUUUUAUGACAUUAAAGUCUGAUAAACUAUGGAAUCUGAGAUACAUAAAAAAUAAGGCGUUUUAUAAGCAGUUUUUUAAUUGAAGUGUUUAAGUGUAUUUUGUUCAAAAAUUGCAGUAUUAUUUGGAAUGUCUGUUUUGCUGUGUUUGGAAUGUUAAGACUAUAUAAUAUGUGUAAUUUUUAAUUACAAUCAAUGAUUGAAUAAACUAUUUUGUAUAUA